ACGGAAGGCAGCAGUGAGGAAUAUUGGUCAAUGGUCGGAAGACUGAACCAGCCAUGCCGCGUGCAGGAAUAAGGCCCUAUGGGUCGUAAACUGCUUUUGUGGUGGAGCAAUAAGGCGUACGUGUACGUCGAUGAGAGUACAUCACGAAUAAGCAUCGGCUAACUCCGUGCCAGCAGCCGCGGUAAUACGGAGGAUUCGAGCGUUAUCCGGAUUUAUUGGGUUUAAAGGGAGCGUAGGCGGGAAGUCAAGUCAGCUGUGAAAUGUAGACGCUCAACGUCUGCACUGCAGUUGAAACUGGUUUUCUUGAGUGCGUAAGAGGCAGGCGGAAUUCGUCGUGUAGCGGUGAAAUGCUUAGAUAUGACGAAGAACUCCUAUUGCGAAGGCAGCUUGCUGGGCCGCAACUGACGCUGAAGCUCGAAGGUGCGGGUAUCGAACAGGAUUAGAUACCCUGGUA
Molecule: ribosomal RNA, 454 nt
Filed under: uncultured Prevotellaceae bacterium
Lineage: Bacteria; Pseudomonadati; Bacteroidota; Bacteroidia; Bacteroidales; Prevotellaceae
Description: bacterial SSU rRNA
Rfam family: Bacterial small subunit ribosomal RNA
Source: RNAcentral